RNAcentral lists this ribosomal RNA (3514 nucleotides) under Triticum aestivum (bread wheat). Its description in RNAcentral is "partial small subunit ribosomal RNA". Lineage: Eukaryota; Viridiplantae; Streptophyta; Magnoliopsida; Poales; Poaceae. The record is from RNAcentral.
AAGCAAACGAACACAAAAUAUUCGCGAAAACGAGAGGGGGCAAAAGGGGAAAGACGACGCCUCAAGGCCGCGAGAAGCGAGGGCGAAGAAAGGCCUCGAGGCAGCUCGUCGAUGGUGGUUAGGGUUUCGCAGCCUGCGUCCUCGACCCACUGACGAAGCGACCCGGCGGCAAGAGGCUCCUUCGUCCCCCUAGGCUGCAGGGAGGCUCCCGCUAUCUCUGUGGCGGCUCCGGAAGGCGACGGAGGGAACUGCGGCGCGAUGGGGGAGCAGCGGGAGGCUUCGGCUUCGGCGGCGGCGGUAGCGCACAGCAGCAACAUGCAGCGUGUGAAAGUGUACCGUUUGAGGGAUGGAGGCAAAUGGGAUGAUCAGGGCACAGGGCACGUUGCUGUUGACUACAUCGAGGGUUCAAAAGAACCUGGUUUGACUGUUUUGGAUGAAGAAGACAACGAAACACUGCUUGUCCACAAUAUUACAUCUGAAGAUAUCUACAGAAAGCAAGAAGAAACAAUCAUCUCAUGGAGGGAUCCAGAAGCAGCAACAGAAUUAGCAUUGAGCUUUCAGGAGGCUGCAGGGUGCUCCUACAUAUGGGACAACAUCUGUGAUAUUCAGAGAAACCUUCAGUUUAGUAACCUUGGCGGUCUUGAAGUUUGUCCUCGUCCAGCUUCGGAACAUCUAGAAGCCUCUAGAGUAUUGCAUUCACACGAUGAGUCCUUUCGCUCUGUUAACGGUGAACUGAGGGAACUUCCACCUGUUGAUUUGUCCAAUCUUCCUUUGAUUUUGAAGACUAUAUUGGAGGGUGGCAUUACUGAUCAAAUGCGCGUGGCCGAGUUGAUAACACAAGAUCGUGAUUUUUUCCCCAAGCUGCUGGAUAUUUUUAGAAUGUGUGAGGAUUUAGAGAAUUUAGAUGAUCUCCACAUGAUAUUCAAAUUAGUCAGGGGAAUCAUAUUGCUGAACAGCCCAUCGAUCUUUGAUAAGAUAUUCUCUGAUGAGCUUAUUCUUGACAUCAUAGGCGCCCUUGAAUAUGAUCCAGAGGUUGCUAAAGUGCAAAAGCAUCGCAUUUUUCUGAAGGAUCAUGUAGUUUUCAAAGAGGCCAUACCUAUUAAAAAUAUUUCUGUGGUUUCAAGGAUACAUCAAACGUACAGAAUAGGGUAUCUAAAGGAUGUUAUAUUACCCAGAAUAUUAGAUGAUGCCACUCUGGCUAGUCUUAACACGAUGAUACACACGAACAAUGCUGCUGUUAUUUCCUUACUGAAGGAUGAUGCUUGCUUUAUCCAAGACUUAUUCUCUAGGAUGAGAUCACCAAAUAUUUCUAUGGAAUUGAAAAGAGAAUUGGUCCUGUUCUUGCAUGAGUUCUGCACUCUUAGUAAGAGUUUGCCGCUUGUACAACAACUACGACUGUUUCGGGAUCUUUCAGGUGAAGGUGUAUUUGAAAUUGUAUCUGAUGUGUUGCAGAGUCAAGACAGAAAAAUUGUUUCGGCUGGGACGGAUAUCGUUAUUCUUUUUCUUAAUCAGGACCCUAACCUAUUGAGGUCAUAUAUUGUCCAGCAAGAAGGAAAUUCUCUUCUUGGACUUUUGGUUAAAGGAAUGGUAACUGACUUUGGUGAGCAAAUGCACUGUCAAUUUCUGGAAAUCCUCCGUAUAUUAAUGGAUUCUUUCACUAUGUCUGGAGCACAUAGAGACGUAAUUAUUGAGAUUUUCUAUGAAAGGCACCUUGACUAUUUGGUUGAUGUAAUAGCAUCCUCUUGUCCUUCGAGGAGUGCUACCCGAACAUCACCUAACUCAGCUGUCGUUGGUGGAAACACUGAAGAGCAUCGUAUCAAGCCAGAAAUUCUGUUAAAUGUCUGCGAACUAUUAUGCUUUUGUGUAGUCCAUCAUCCCUAUAGAAUUAAGUGCAACUUCCUUAUGAACAAUGCGAUAGAGAAAAUCCUUACCAUGACUCGACGAAGUGAGAAGUUUUUGGUUGUUGCAGCUGUCAGGUUUAUGCGCACUAUUAUAUCCAGAAAUGAUGAACAUCUUAUUCGCCAUGUUGUCAAGUUUAACUUGUUGAAACCAAUAAUUGACGCCUUUGUGGAAAAUGGGGAUAGAUAUAACAUGCUACAAUCUGGAGUACUCGAACUGUUGGAACACAUACGGAAGGAAAAUCUAAAACCUCUUGUUAUUUAUGUUACCGAGUCUUUCUCAGAUCAACUUAUGAAGUUUGAACACUUUGGGAGCAUUCAGGCCUUCAAACUCAAGUAUCAACAGUACUUGGAGAGUGCCGAUAUGAAAUUAAGUGCUAGUGUGCCUGACAUGAGAAAGAAGGCAGAAGGAAGAGGUCUUGAGAAGGAAGAGGAAGAUUAUUUCAACGAGAGUGACGAGGAAGAUUCAGUAAGGCGGACUAAACAUGCACACGGUGAACAUAAUGAAGAAAGCAAGGAUGAUGUAGCCAAUGGAAGCGAAACUGAUGACAUAUCCUCAAGGCCUAAAUCUGGUGGGCUUGUGGACUAUGCCGAUGACGACGACGAGGAUUUCAAUCCGCCACCCAAGGAGCCUGAUAGGCCUGUGGAUGACGAUGAGCUCUUAACUAUAUCCACAGUGAAGCGGAAAUUAGUGAACCCGGGGGAUGGCAAACAUGCAGAUGGGGAAGUUCGCAAGAGACAAAAGAUUGAAACAAGGAUUACUUGUGCCAAGAUUUCUGCUUUGACUAAUCUGGCUAGCAAACACAAGGAUACACUUGCCUCAAGCUCGCCAAGUUGCGAGGCCAAUGGUGUUUUGGGGGAGCAUGCUACACAUUCUGAUGAGCAUCAACAUUCCACAGACACUGCAGAAACCUCACGGCAAGUUGGCGGUGAUUGUAUCAAAGCAAUGGGCAGUUUGUCUAGUGAGAAGGCUGUAAAUACCACCAAAACAAACGAUUCAGAGCCCUAUUCAGUGAGAUGACAAAUUGACAGCUCUUCUCCACACUGGCUUGCCCCAGGAUUCGACCGAUCAAUGCUUGCCAACCGAUCAAUGCUUGCCAACAGGAACAACAUGUUUUUGGCUCUGGAGAAGGCUGAAUCUAUUAAUCUCAAAUCCAGAAGCAUGAGUCGAGGUGAUGUAAACCGCACUUCUCUGUAAAUCUUGAAUGAAAUUGCAGCUACCAUCACAGCCUGUAAAGUAAUUCUUCCAGAAGGAAAGAUAUGAAACUGAGAAUUGGCAUGCCUUUCGGUUCAGCAUUAAUCGAGUCUUGCUCUCUCUCUCUCUCUCUCUAUAUAUAUAUAUAUAUAUAUAUAUCUUUCUCUCUAUAUAGAGAGAGCAGUGAAUAUAUGAAACUGAGAAUUGGCAUGCACUUUCUCCCGUUUUCUUUCUAGGAUCAUUGGCUGAGAUGUUGAUGUUGUAAAACAAGUGGGCAAGAAUAGUUUCAGUUGAGAGUGAUAUUAUCCAUAUCUUACAGUUGUAAUUUGUCGAUUAGUAGUUUUGGCUGGAUAUACUUUGACUUGGAUGAGUAAGUAAUUUAUAUGAUAGAAUAAUUUAUUCAAAAUGUUGAACAAGAGUA